Puntigrus tetrazona (Sumatra barb) is the source of this 2682-nucleotide long non-coding RNA. RefSeq lists it as uncharacterized. The transcript has 2 exons. The record is from RefSeq and is a predicted model, not a curated record. Lineage: Eukaryota; Metazoa; Chordata; Actinopteri; Cypriniformes; Cyprinidae.
AAACCUGUAACUCUUCAUCUGUAAGGAUGCGAUUGUAGUUUAAAUCAAGAUAGGCCUACUGCAAGGACAAGUCGGUUAGUGAGCAGCACCUCGAGGAUGAGAACCAAGCUUCAGCUUUGAAGAAGACCGGCGAUGAGAACUGAGGAAACCGUGAUCAUGACCAUUAAUACACAGACAAUAGUCUGAAUUGAGGAAACAGUUUUGUAAAUAAAGAUUUAAUUUCUCAUCUUUUAGUGGUGAAACAUUGCCUUGUUUAUAAUGUUCCUCUAUUGUCUGGCGUGAUGGCGGACGUCCUUUAGGAGCUUGAGGCCGCGGAUGUUCCCUCACCUUUGACCAAUGAGUUUCCACGACGUUUCCACAUGACUUGGCAAUGAUUUUUCCAGCCUUAUAAAUUUCAUCGCAUUAGGGGAUGCUUAGCGUCGUGGAUUGAGAGCAAGCGAAUCAUUUAUGUGCAAAGUGAGACCACAAAUCAAAGAGAUUGACCUUUGCUUUCUACUUUAAACAAUGUCAAAACAUUGUACUUUUUUCUAAUUAAAUGUCUGUGAUUUCAUCUAAAUCUUUAUUCUAAGGCAUCAUGACUACCGUGCUUGGCUUGGAAGCGCACCUAAAAGUGAAUUUGUCAUCUUAAAGUGCCCUUAUUACAGGUAAUGAAAGGUACAUUUUUUGGUUUUGGGAGUCUCCAACAACAUGGUUGACAUGCAUGCAAGGUCAAAAAACACUUUCGUCGUCUUAUAAUAUGCAUUUCUCUUUUUUAACCUAUUUGCUAAACGACUCCCAAACGGUUAAUUCUGCCACAUCUCUCCUUUGCAUGAUGCUAAUCUGCAGCGAUAUCUUGGAUCGGGCCCGUCUCGCUUUCAUCGUGUCUGUAAUACCUGAUAAAUCUGUAUUUGUGAGCGCAUGUCAACGUGAAACGGCUCGGGAUUCGUUUUAAAAACUGCUCUUUUCGAUGAUUUAAAGUGCACUCUUUCUUUCGAGAGUCGAGAUGUAAAUGAAAAUGAAAGGUCAUUUUCCAUAAUAGGGGCACUUUAAGAAACUUUUUAUUGUGGGCUUAUCUGCUUAGAUAUUUUACUUCCUGUUGAACCAGUUUUGCUCAGUCAUGUGGAGGAUUUUUUACUUCUUUUACUUCUUUAUUAACUCGGUCCAAAUCAAGUACUUCCUACUUAGAGCAGUGAUGUUUUAUAUUGCAUUUGGCAUGCAUCUGACUGUCUUGGAAACACAUCAGUGCCAGCAACCAGUACUUCAGAUGAAGAUGUAUUUUGUUCUCCAAGACACGAGUGCGGUGCGCAUGACACUGUAAAAUAUAAUGGCAUCAAAUAAACAGCAGUAGGGUGUUCGGUGUUCCACGUGGUGAGUGAAAGUCCAUCUGAAUAACGGAAUGAAUAUGUUCUUUUUAAACAUCACUGAUGCUACCAAUUUUCAUCAUUUGCAUUCAGUGGUAUUUUUAACAACCACAAUACACAAUCGAGAUAAUAUGAAAACCGACGACAAGACCGCUAAAAAGUUUUUGUUAGUUAGCUGUUUUGUAUGUUGACUACUAUAAGUGUUAGUAUUAAACACCGCAAGUGUUCAUUUCAACACUUUAAUAAAACCAAUAGACAAGAAUGUAUUUUUUUUAUAGAUCGUACUUCCAACAAUUUAAAAAUAAGUUAAAAUAAAAUAAUAAUAAUAAUAAUAAUAAAUGUACUGACUGUAGUAAGCAACAUUUUCCACACAGAGAAUAUUAAUAAAAAAACAAAGACAGAAGAAAUUCGGCGGAUGGGAUGAGAGAACAUCUGAUAGUGUGUGUGAGUAUUCAAACCACUUAAGUGUUGGCUUAACAACACACAGUAUAAGAUCCUGCAUGAUCCUGAAACUAGCGCAGAGUUUCUUACCUUGUCAUUUAUUACUAACGGUUUGGAAUGAAGAAUAAAUCUAAACACCUUUCUUUCACACCACCUGGAAGGAAUUCUAUUUGUUCAAAGAAAUGCACAGGCAAUUCAUUUUUCUCUCUUUUCAGGUUCAAAUUUUGUGGUGUUGUGUUACUUACUGUAGCCAGCAGAGGGGGCGGUUGCACUUUAAAUUAUGUUUUGCAAUCAGAUGGAAAUAAGCCCAAUAGAAGCCUUUUAAUAAUUAAAUGAUUUGAAUUAUUGUGUGUUCACAAAAAUCAUGCCUUUUUUAACAAAGCUGUAUAAAAUGUUGAAAAAGCAUUUUUUUCUUUGGAAGAUUUUUCUAAAUAUCUUUUUACAAUAAUAUGAAAGACGACAACAAAAAGACAACGAAGAAAGUAGUCAAGCCACAGAGGUGGAUCAUAUGGAGAGAAUUCAGCAGCAACAGCUGCAAAUAUUCAUAAAAGUAAACUCAAAGCACAGUGAAUGCUGUUUAAUAAUUAUGUGUCUGUCGUUCCUUUCCAGUAAUCGGUGAGAAAGAGGCCAUGGCAGCUACAACCGUGUUUCAACUUUCUUUAACACAGAACUGUUCUGUCGAACCGGAGCUCCAUGAGCAACAGAACAAACCUACCAUCAAGAAAAAGCAAAGAUAUGAAGCUUCAAACGUUUAAAAGCAUCAGUUUUCAAAUAUGUUAAUGUUAAUAUUGUUUUGAAGUCAUGACAUGAUAUUCUAAUAAGUGAUUGUGUGACAAUUAAUCUUUAUUAAUCAAAACUCUGUAAAUUUGUGUAAAAUGGAAUAAAAAGUGUCUGAGUUUUA